UACGGAGGGUGCAAGCGUUAUCCGGAUUCACUGGGUUUAAAGGGUGCGUAGGUGGGCAGUUAAGUCAGUGGUGAAAUCUUCGAGCUUAACUCGGAAACUGCCAUUGAUACUAAUUGUCUUGAAUGCCCUGGAGGUGAGCGGAAUAUGUCAUGUAGCGGUGAAAUGCUUAGAUAUGACAUAGAACACCAAUUGCGAAGGCAGCUCACUACGGGGAUAUUGACACUGAGGCACGAAAGCGUGGGGAUCAAACAGGAUUAGAUACCCUGGUAGUCCACGCCCUAAACGAUGGAUACUCGACAUCAGCGAUACACUGUUGGUGUCUGAGCGAAAGCAUUAAGUAUCCCACCUGGGAAGUACGAUCGCAAGAUUG
Molecule: ribosomal RNA, 370 nt
Filed under: uncultured prokaryote
Description: bacterial SSU rRNA
Rfam family: Bacterial small subunit ribosomal RNA
Source: RNAcentral